This 1343-nucleotide ribosomal RNA is filed under the name Microbacterium sp. Its description in RNAcentral is "bacterial SSU rRNA". It matches the Rfam family "Bacterial small subunit ribosomal RNA", at positions 84 to 1438 of the family's 1533-position model. The record is from RNAcentral. Lineage: Bacteria; Bacillati; Actinomycetota; Actinomycetes; Micrococcales; Microbacteriaceae.
UGGGUGGAUCAGUGGCGAACGGGUGAGUAACACGUGAGCAACCUGCCCCUGACUCUGGGAUAAGCGCUGGAAACGGCGUCUAAUACCGGAUACGAGACGUGACCGCAUGGUCGACGUUUGGAAAGAUUUUUCGGUCUGGGAUGGGCUCGCGGCCUAUCAGCUUGUUGGUGAGGUAAUGGCUCACCAAGGCGUCGACGGGUAGCCGGCCUGAGAGGGUGACCGGCCACACUGGGACUGAGACACGGCCCAGACUCCUACGGGAGGCAGCAGUGGGGAAUAUUGCACAAUGGGCGAAAGCCUGAUGCAGCAACGCCGCGUGAGGGACGACGGCCUUCGGGUUGUAAACCUCUUUUAGCAGGGAAGAAGCGAAAGUGACGGUACCUGCAGAAAAAGCGCCGGCUAACUACGUGCCAGCAGCCGCGGUAAUACGUAGGGCGCAAGCGUUAUCCGGAAUCAUUGGGCGUAAAGAGCUCGUAGGCGGUUUGUCGCGUCUGCUGUGAAAUCCCGAGGCUCAACCUCGGGCCUGCAGUGGGUACGGGCAGACUAGAGUGCGGUAGGGGAGAUUGGAAUUCCUGGUGUAGCGGUGGAAUGCGCAGAUAUCAGGAGGAACACCGAUGGCGAAGGCAGAUCUCUGGGCCGUAACUGACGCUGAGGAGCGAAAGGGUGGGGAGCAAACAGGCUUAGAUACCCUGGUAGUCCACCCCGUAAACGUUGGGAACUAGUUGUGGGGACCAUUCCACGGUUUCCGUGACGCAGCUAACGCAUUAAGUUCCCCGCCUGGGGAGUACGGCCGCAAGGCUAAAACUCAAAGGAAUUGACGGGGACCCGCACAAGCGGCGGAGCAUGCGGAUUAAUUCGAUGCAACGCGAAGAACCUUACCAAGGCUUGACAUAUACGAGAACGGGCCAGAAAUGGUCAACUCUUUGGACACUCGUAAACAGGUGGUGCAUGGUUGUCGUCAGCUCGUGUCGUGAGAUGUUGGGUUAAGUCCCGCAACGAGCGCAACCCUCGUUCUAUGUUGCCAGCACGUAAUGGUGGGAACUCAUGGGAUACUGCCGGGGUCAACUCGGAGGAAGGUGGGGAUGACGUCAAAUCAUCAUGCCCCUUAUGUCUUGGGCUUCACGCAUGCUACAAUGGCCGGUACAAAGGGCUGCAAUACCGUGAGGUGGAGCGAAUCCCAAAAAGCCGGUCCCAGUUCGGAUUGAGGUCUGCAACUCGACCUCAUGAAGUCGGAGUCGCUAGUAAUCGCAGAUCAGCAACGCUGCGGUGAAUACGUUCCCGGGUCUUGUACACACCGCCCGUCAAGUCAUGAAAGUCGGUAACACCUGAAGCCGGUGGCCUAA